Molecule: long non-coding RNA, 2931 nt
Filed under: Triticum aestivum (bread wheat)
Lineage: Eukaryota; Viridiplantae; Streptophyta; Magnoliopsida; Poales; Poaceae
Description: long non-coding RNA (TAES_LNC000762)
Source: RNAcentral
UCGAUUUGGCGCUACCUGCACUCACAAGGAGCUCCAUAGAGCAACUAGUUAGAGGGUACCCUCUAGGCGGGGCUUCGCAGAAGUCACUCGUGGAGCAGUUCAACACUCAAAGUGGUGCAACCAGCUUCGCCACAUGUUGUGAGCUGGACGCAUCCCUUAUUAGGACAUUUUCUUCUCUUUUUUUUUUGUUUUUGUCUCAAUUUUCAGUUUUGGGUUUUGUUUCCUCUGUUUUUUUAUUUUGAUUUUCGUUUGUUGGGAGCGUCGGUGUGUUUUGCUCCCGUGCGAGGACAUGUGAGCUUCUACAUGAAGCACAUGUGCGCUUCAAGCAGAAGCACUAGUGUGUUGUGCUUCCUCGUGAACACAGAUAUGCUUCAAGCAGAAGCAUAGUUGUGUUUCGCCUCGCGUUGGGAGCACAUGUUAGUUUACUUGGAAGCACCAUUCUGCUUCUGCGGGAAGAACAUGUGUGCUUCCUCGCUGGAGGACAAUUGUGCUUCAUCCCGCUGGAGCAUAAGUCAGGAGCGUGAGUUAGUACAACUAGAUGAUACCCCGCGCGUUGUUUCGAAAAUUUAUUACAUAUUUUUCGAGUAACAUGCUAGUCAAUAAGAUGAUAAUAAUUGGAUAUAAAAUUACAAUACCUCAACAUUACUGCAGAAAUUUGUAUGAAUUAAUUGUACCAAAAAUGACGUUAGGAUGUUGUGGAAUUUUCCUAAAGAUCCCACAUGUGUGGCAAUGACUGCGACCAAGAAUCGGCGACAAUAUGCAUGUUUUAAGCAUCUGCAGCAGCCAGCAGAAGGCAUAAUAAAGUAGAACAAAGUAUAUCAUAGAAAAGAAAGAUGCCAGCAGAAGGCAUAAUAAAGUAGAACAAAGUAUAUCAUAGAAAAGAAAGAUAAAGGGCAUAAAUAUGAUUUCUUGUUUCAAACUCCAAGAAGCUUUUAGUCAGUUUUAUACAUGUAACUAAGAAAAUAGUAGUAAAAAUGAAAAUUGGUUGUCAACCUAAAUGCCAGUAGAAGGACCCUUCCUCCUCGACAACACAGAUUCUAAAUUGGAUCGUAAGUGUGUCUGUCUCUGUGACUAUGUCAACAUGCCCUUCAUGCCAAAAUAAAUCCCACAAUGCCAUUGAUUUCAAAGAUAGUCCCUGAUAGAUGGGAACGACAAAAGCUUACGAUUAUGGAUAAAUGUCAAAUUUGGUGCUUGCAAAGAUUAUCUAAAUUAUUCCUUUGACUGUUGAGUUAGUGAACAUCAUGUUAAGAGGUGUAGGUCUGAUUGGUACCAAGAACGUGAUGCUCAUAUGAGUUGUAGAUAAAUCAAUAGAUAUCAUGCAUACCGCGGGACUAAAGAUUUUAGGUGGCUUCAAGAACCUAACUAACUCUGUUAAGUUGCAUAUGCCUACCGUAGUUCUUAGCAGCUGCACUGGGACUGGUCAAGGGGACUGGUCGAAUAGCACGACCCUAUGAAGAACUUUAUGGGAUAUCCAAUUUGUGCAGUCUUAAGAACAGAGGGCCUCAAUACAAAUAUUUAUUAGAAACCUGUAAUCAACUAAUGGAAUAAUGGUCGCUUUGUUUUGUUCGGCGUGCCAAUCAAACAUAACACUGUUGGAACAAACUGGCUUAUACAAUCGAUCUAGCUAAUAAUGUGCAGAUAUAUUAAGUAUGGGAAAAAUGCUAACACACACCUACUGUCUCAUGACAGAAACAUGGACCCAUCUCUGAACAUGUUCAAGGAAGGCAAGACAAACAUAUUCAACAGGCCAAGUGCAUGAUAUAGUAAAUAAGCAACAGAGUAGAGGAAGUGUGAGAAUGGAGAGAUCAGGAACAUGGUACGUGUUGCAGCGGAACUAUGUUACAAUUUUUUUAAUAUUAAGAGAUAAAACAUAGAAACACUUUGUGCAUGCAAAUGAAGUGGGCUUAACUACCAUGUUGUAAGAGACAUCUCAUUGGUAAAUCUCGUGGUUAGUAAUAUAGAUUCAUGACUGAGUGUGGUGAGAAGCAUGAUUCACAUACUGGUUGACAAAACACAACAAAUUUACUCACAAACUGCUAGUAUUCUGAAACUAACCAAACGAUUUUGUCCAAAAAGGAAAUUGUACUGCAACGAACCUCUGAAUAAUCAAUACGCAUACUUGGAGUUUUACCAAAGCUAUCAACUUGUUGAUGGGACUACGCAGACUUAGACAAUGGGAGUUCUGGCGAGUUCAGUAUAAACCUGCACAGUUACAUGAAAGAAAAAGAAUAAGCCAUGCCGUCAAUUAUUUAAUUAAUGGGAUUCAUGGCCACGCCAUGAGGAGAUAAUCUGGAUUAGUGCUACUAUGAGCUUAGAGCAUCAGGCGCGGUGGUGAUUGCCGCAUCAGGCGCGUCCGAGGCCGCCGCCACAACGAGGGCUCAGAGCACAGCAACGACAUGAGGGAGCUCCUCCUCGAUCACGCUAGAACUGGGCUGCGCCGGGGAUGGCUGUGUCUGAUGCAUCUGAGGCGGCCGGCGCUAGGACGGUCCGCACCAGAGCAAGGACAUGAGGGAGCUUCGAGGAGAGUCUGACCAUAAGCGUGGGGAGACCGUGAGGUACUUGCCGAGGGUGGCCCGGGCCGAUCCCGGCGCGGCUGCAUCCUCCGCAAGGCGCUGUUCUUCCAUGGCGGGGCACCUACGAAUCUACGAUUUGGGAAGCCGAAGGCAGGGCAGGGACUGCCACCGGGGUACCUCAUCGCAGAGGAUGAACGCCUCUUACCAUCGCUCACUGCCACACCCUGCCAAAUUGCGCGCAUGUGAGCGAACAUAAAUACCAGAUGGAAUAGCAACUUAAUCGCCAGAGUAGUGGGAUUUGAUAGAGGGAGAAGAAAACCUAUCCGUCUCGGUUUCAAAAAUAAUACAGUGGGAUUUGAUGAAGGUUGGAGAAGACGAAGAGGAAGUUGAAUCUGUUUCGUUGGAAAGAUGAGCGGGU